GUCAAUGUACAGAGUUUGAUUGGAUAAAUCUCUUCAUUUUUAAAGGGGAUCUGCAUAGCUGAGACGUGCCCCCAUCUGCACCAGGCAAGGAACUGAAGCUGUUUUCCUCUACUCUUUACUGUGCUUUGUAAAAAUACUACCCAGAGGUACAGUCCUCAAGAAGAUUUUAUAGUCUGCUUCACUGGAGUGACUGUCAAUUAAACCGGAUUGGCAUUUGGGCUUAUGACAAGCCUUUGAGGUUUUUGUUGACUCAUUCUUCUAGCAGGGGUGUAGGAACUUAUAUUUGCUGUCUUGAAUUUUUGUCCGGUUAUUCUCAAAUACAGAGGGAUGCUAUUUUUCCUAGCCUUGAUUUCUUUCAAAACCAAUAAAAGAUCACUGAAAUCAUCCAAGGGCUGGCACUUGAAUAUAGACUGUGAUGGAUUUCUGCACAUAAUUACUACUGCUGUCUCAGUACAUAAUAUACUAUGGAUAAAGUAUUCCCUGUUGUCCUACCUUACAUUCAUGCAUUGAGCACUGCUUCCUUAAUUGAAA
RNAcentral lists this long non-coding RNA (531 nucleotides) under Crocodylus porosus (Australian saltwater crocodile). RNAcentral describes it as "lncRNA (ENSCPRG00005009691.1)". Lineage: Eukaryota; Metazoa; Chordata; Crocodylia; Crocodylidae. The record is from RNAcentral.